This 522-nucleotide long non-coding RNA is filed under the name Gossypium barbadense (sea-island cotton). RNAcentral describes it as "long non-coding RNA (GBAR_LNC005854)". Lineage: Eukaryota; Viridiplantae; Streptophyta; Magnoliopsida; Malvales; Malvaceae. The record is from RNAcentral.
AAGUAACAUCUAAAAAGAAGCAAGCUCUAUCAGUUUGUCCAAUUCUUCUAAAAUCAACCAGAUGUCUGAGUGUAUAUAUUUUAGGUAGCAGUGAACAUGUUACAAUAGUAUGGCCAAAAAUAUUACCGCUGCAAGAUUUCACUUGUCACAAAUGAAGUUAGUAAGAACUUCAUUCACUUUGAAUCAACUUGACUGAUGAUUUGGACUAAUUAUAACAUAUUUCCUUCACUAUAUUUGACAGCUGAUAUUCUAGUCUGCUAGAUAAAGCAUACUUCAAUCCUUUUGUUAUGGGAGCUUUACAAACAAAACAUUUGACAUUUAAAUACAUGAUACCCUUGCUCGAAAAGUUGCUUUAUAUGAUUAAUUUAAGUACAAAACAUAAAUAACAUACUAAAAACAUAAAUAACAUACUAAACUACAUAUAUUAGUCAAUUUCGAUGCAUGGAAAUCCACUAACUAGACAAUGCAAGCAAAAAGUAUCAACACGUUUCAACAACACGGAAAAUUAAGAAUCAGACACAG